This 615-nucleotide ribosomal RNA is filed under the name Staphylococcus aureus. RNAcentral's name for it is "partial 23S ribosomal RNA". It matches the Rfam family "Bacterial large subunit ribosomal RNA", at positions 12 to 623 of the family's 2925-position model. The record is from RNAcentral. Lineage: Bacteria; Bacillati; Bacillota; Bacilli; Caryophanales; Staphylococcaceae.
UAAGGGCGCACGGUGGAUGCCUUGGCACUAGAAGCCGAUGAAGGACGUUACUAACGACGAUAUGCUUUGGGGAGCUGUAAGUAAGCUUUGAUCCAGAGAUUUCCGAAUGGGGAAACCCAGCAUGAGUUAUGUCAUGUUAUCGAUAUGUGAAUACAUAGCAUAUCAGAAGGCACACCCGGAGAACUGAAACAUCUUAGUACCCGGAGGAAGAGAAAGAAAAUUCGAUUCCCUUAGUAGCGGCGAGCGAAACGGGAAGAGCCCAAACCAACAAGCUUGCUUGUUGGGGUUGUAGGACACUCUAUACGGAGUUACAAAGGACGACAUUAGACGAAUCAUCUGGAAAGAUGAAUCAAAGAAGGUAAUAAUCCUGUAGUCGAAAAUGUUGUCUCUCUUGAGUGGAUCCUGAGUACGACGGAGCACGUGAAAUUCCGUCGGAAUCUGGGAGGACCAUCUCCUAAGGCUAAAUACUCUCUAGUGACCGAUAGUGAACCAGUACCGUGAGGGAAAGGUGAAAAGCACCCCGGAAGGGGAGUGAAAUAGAACCUGAAACCGUGUGCUUACAAGUAGUCAGAGCCCGUUAAUGGGUGAUGGCGUGCCUUUUGUAGAAUGAACCGG